RNAcentral lists this ribosomal RNA (496 nucleotides) under uncultured bacterium. RNAcentral describes it as "partial 16S ribosomal RNA". It matches the Rfam family "Bacterial small subunit ribosomal RNA", at positions 29 to 507 of the family's 1533-position model. The record is from RNAcentral.
AUGAACGCUGGCGGCGUGCCUAAUACAUGCAAGUCGAGCGCACGGACGAGAAGCUUGCUUCUCUGAUGUUAGCGGCGGACGGGUGAGUAACACGUGGAUAACCUACCUAUAAGACUGGGAUAACUUCGGGAAACCGGAGCUAAUACCGGAUAAUAUUUUGAACCGCAUGGUUCAAAAGUGAAAGUCGGUCUUGCUGUCACUUAUAGAUGGAUCCGCGCUGCAUUAGCUAGUUGGUAAGGUAACGGCUUACCAAGGCAACGAUGCAUAGCCGACCUGAGAGGGUGAUCGGCCACACUGGAACUGAGACACGGUCCAGACUCCUACGGGAGGCGGCAGUAGGGAAUCUUCCGCAAUGGGCGAAAGCCUGACGGAGCAACGCCGCGUGAGUGAUGAAGGUCUUCGGAUCGUAAAACUCUGUUAUUAGGGAAGAACAUAUGUGUAAGUAACUGUGCACAUCUUGACGGUACCUAAUCAGAAAGCCACGGCUAACUACGUG